Molecule: unclassified non-coding RNA, 452 nt
Filed under: Homo sapiens (human)
Lineage: Eukaryota; Metazoa; Chordata; Mammalia; Primates; Hominidae
Description: EGF like domain multiple 8 (ENSG00000243897.8)
Source: RNAcentral
CCGUGCCGCCUGAAGAGCUGCAGCCAGAACAGGUGGCUGAGCUGUGGGGCCGGGGUGACCGGAUCGAAUCUCUCAGCGACCAGGCUCCUGUGAGGACAACAGCCUGGGCCUCGGCGUCAAUCAUCGAUAAGAAGCCUCUACAGCACCCCUGCCCCCUAAUUUAUACAGAAACCGGACCCACUAAUCCUCUGGGAUUGGCCGACUGUGAGCUGCAGAUAAGGCUAUCAGCCACCAAAGAGCAAUGAACAAUGGAAACUUCAGAGAGCUGAAGAAAGGGGGAGGCCUGUGUUCUUGGCCUGCCCCUGAGUCUUCUGGCUGGGGGCAGGUUGCCUGGGCAAGAACUGCUUCAAUUCCUUAACAAAUGCAACCACCAACACCCAGAUCUCUCUCUCUCUUUAUUUUCAGUUUUUUUGCUGUUAUCCAGAUAAUUAAUAAAAACCAACCACGCAAAA